This 1505-nucleotide long non-coding RNA is filed under the name Heterocephalus glaber (naked mole-rat). RNAcentral describes it as "lncRNA (ENSHGLG00000033626.1)". The record is from RNAcentral. Lineage: Eukaryota; Metazoa; Chordata; Mammalia; Rodentia; Bathyergidae.
CUUGUGCGCACCACGUUGUUUCUCCUCGGCGAGCCCUGUUUGUCAUCCCAGCCUUGGAUCCAGCCAAUUAUGGACUGAAACCUCUAUGAACUAUAAAAAUGGUUGACUGCAGGUAACUGAAGAUGACUCAACAUGAUACAUUUUUAUGAACAAAUCAUUAGAAGGGUCUUGCUCCGCAGUUCCGAUAAGCCAUGAAUUUGUGAUCCUCCUGCCUCAGCUUCCAAGUGCUAUAAGUAUAGUUUGCAUCAUCACACUCAGCUUUUUGUUGAGCUCUUUGGAUGGAAAUUCUUACAUGUUGGACAACUUUUGCAGCUUUUGAUCACCUGGAAAUAUGUUCAAUUUACUGCCAUUAUCCUUUUCCAAAUCAUGAACACAGGCAAGAGCACAGGACUGGAGAACAGAGUGACAAGCAGAUCACAGCAGAUUUCUCUGUGUGUUAGUGUGGAUAAACACUUAUGUAUAUGUACUAACUCACAUUUCACCAAAUUGGCUUGACUUUAUCAACAUUUUCUUUCAAAUUUAUUACUUGCAAACAUUUUGGUAAAAUGUUCAUGCAUUAUUUCUCCUGAGAUGUGAUGACUGGACCAGUACUUCUUACAUGUACCCCUCCGUGAUUCAACUACUACCUGUGGAAAACAACAAGCAAGCAAACCAGCAAACAAACCAGUGAAGCAACCAAAUAACUGGCUACAAUUGCUUAGUGAAAAGAGAACCAAAAGUCUAUGUCAUUAGCUACUUAUUAAUCUUUGGGCAAGUUACUUUAUUCUUAAAUCUCACAUUUCUUGUAAAAUCAAGAUAAGAAAAAUUCCAUAGCUAAAAGCAUUGGUGCUAUGGACUGUAAAUGUCUUUGAAUAUUUUGACCAAACACUUUAAAAGAGAUGGUGAAUAUCUUUCAAAAUCAACUUUCUACCAGGAUUUUCAAACUUCAAAAUGCACCAGCAUUAUCCAGAGACUUACUAAAACACAGAUGGCUGGUAACCCAGAAUUUCUGAUUAAAUAGGUCUGCCAAGAAUCAUCCUGUCUUACAAUUUCUUAACUCUUUUUGAUGUUGCUGGCAGGUGCACUGUACUUGGGGAACCACUGGGGAGAUGUGGAGAACAGUUAUAUGUAGACUACGAAGGACAGUGAAAGAAAUGGAUACCUUGACUAAGAUACUGACUGGUGACUGAUCAGAUAAGGAACAAGAAAGCGUGGCUGUGUGUGGCUCAGUGGCAGAAGCAUGCCUAGCUCAAGGCAUGUGUCUUGAUCCCAACAGCAGGGGCAAGAGGAGGAAGAGGUUUUUGGUUCUAAGUUCAGAUUUGAAAGACAUGAUGCUCAGAGUGUGCAGGACCACCAGAGGACACAGAUGACUUUCACAAGAUGCAUCGUUGGACAUCAGCUCAUAAGUACAACUCUCACUGAAAAAGGACUGUGCUGACCUUCUUCAAAGAUGUGUAGAUCCCUGUUCACUCCCUAGGUAAGAGGCUUUUCUUAACCUCUGACACAAGGUCCGGACUUGUAUGGGC